This is a long non-coding RNA of Lycium ferocissimum, 495 nucleotides long. RefSeq lists it as uncharacterized. Lineage: Eukaryota; Viridiplantae; Streptophyta; Magnoliopsida; Solanales; Solanaceae. The transcript has 2 exons. The record is from RefSeq and is a predicted model, not a curated record.
UUAUGCCUUAUUCAGCGAAGAAGUUCCAGAAAAUUGGCGUUUCUGUCUCUAAAAACAACUUCUUUUGCUGGGUAAUAUUUUUGUUAAACUUAUGUUCAAGUGGAGAGCAGGUUUCAAGAUCAAUGAUAUUGUGGAAUGCAUUGCUGAAAUUUGAGUUGGACGGAGAGAGUUAUCAUAAAUUUUGAGCAGGUAGAUUGGUGGAAUUAUCAGAGUAGCAAUCAAGCUAAGAUCUAUAUUGAUCAAGCUGAGAUGCAGUCAGAGACCGUGGAAGGAGAAGAUUGUACCGUUUUGGAUCUCAAGAAAGAUAGUGCUAGCGUUAUAGAAAAAUUAUGUGCAAUGGUGUUCUGAAAUUUAAAUGUACAAUUAUUUAUAACUUGAAUUCUAUUUUGGAAUCAAUUUUUUUUGUUUAUUCUUAGCUACAUUGGAAAAAAUAUUGUGACUCACUUGUGGAAAAUUCAUGACUUUGUAACAAUAUAAUCUCUUAGUUUGUAGCUA